GAUGAACGCUGGCGGCGUGCCUAAUACAUGCAAGUCGAGCGAACAGACGAGGAGCUUGCUCCUCUGACGUUAGCGGCUGACGGGUGAGUAACACGUGGAUAACCUACCUAUAAGACUUGUAUAACUUCGGGAAACCGGAGCUAAUACCGGAUAAUAUAUUUAACCGCAUUUUUCAAUAUUGAUAGACGGUUUUUCUGUCACUUAUAGAUGGUUCCGCGCCGCAUUAGCUAGUUGGUAAGGUAACGGCUUACCAAGGCGACGAUUCGUAGCCGACCUGAGAGGGUGAUCGGCCACACUGGAACUGAGACACGGUACAGACUACUACGGGAGGCAGCAGAAGGGAAUAUUCCGCAAUGGGAGAAAGGAGGACGGAGCAAAGCCGCGUGAGAGAUGAAGGUAUUCGGAUCGUAAAACUAUGUUAUUAGGGAAGAAAAAAAGUGUAAGUAAAUAUGCACGUAUUGACGGUAACAAAUCAGAAAGCAACGGCUAACUACGUG
This 497-nucleotide ribosomal RNA is filed under the name uncultured bacterium. RNAcentral's name for it is "partial 16S ribosomal RNA". It matches the Rfam family "Bacterial small subunit ribosomal RNA", at positions 28 to 507 of the family's 1533-position model. The record is from RNAcentral.